AUGACGCUACUUGCUCUAUAAAAGCGUAUACAGCCUUUUCGAGCGAGCAGAAUUGACAACGCCUCUGGCGAGCAAACAACGCGUCAAAGCGCAUCAAAGAACAAGAUGGUGAAGACCUCGCUGCUUGUUUUCCUUGUCGUCGCAAUCGCAUUCGGUGUCCUAUGCCGCGCGGACGGGGGCCCGCUGAGUUCCAUGGGCCUCACCAACCCACUAACCGAGCUACAAAAGGCGGCGCCGGCGAGCGACCUCACUUCCCUCCUUUCGCCAGAGAAGUCAAGCCCAGAAAACGAAGACAGCUCGACUCCAUCGAAAGAGGACAGUUCUAGCGACUCCGAAUAGAAAAUGCCGGGUACCUUCACGUUCUCCAUGAAGAUUAUGGCAGUGACCUCAAUUAAUAAAAGUUGCAAUUCGUCUCCUUCAA
Molecule: long non-coding RNA, 421 nt
Organism: Dermacentor andersoni
Lineage: Eukaryota; Metazoa; Arthropoda; Arachnida; Ixodida; Ixodidae
Source: RefSeq, a predicted model, not a curated record